This 515-nucleotide ribosomal RNA is filed under the name uncultured bacterium. RNAcentral describes it as "partial 16S ribosomal RNA". It matches the Rfam family "Bacterial small subunit ribosomal RNA", at positions 28 to 523 of the family's 1533-position model. The record is from RNAcentral.
GAUGAACGCUGGCGGCGUGCCUAAUACAUGCAAGUCGAGCGAAUGGAUUAAGAGCUUGCUCUUAUGAAGUUAGCGGCGGACGGGUGAGUAACACGUGGGUAACCUGCCCAUAAGACUGGGAUAACUCCGGGAAACCGGGGCUAAUACCGGAUAAUAUUUUGAACUGCAUGGUUCAAAAUUGAAAGGCGGCUUCGGCUGUCACUUAUGGAUGGACCCGCGUCGCAUUAGCUAGUUGGUGAGGUAACGGCUCACCAAGGCAACGAUGCGUAGCCGACCUGAGAGGGGUAUCGGCCACACUGGGACUGAGACACGGCCCAGACUCCUGCGGGAGGCAGCAGUAGGGAAUCUUCCGCAAUGGACGAAAGUCUGACGGAGCAACGCCGCGUGAGUGAGGAAGGCUUUCGGGUCGUAAAACUCUGUUGUUAGGGAAGAACAAGUGCUAGUUGAAUAAGCUGGCACCUUGACGGUACCUAACCAGAAAGCCACGGCUAACUACGUGCCAGCCGCCGCCGUAA